Molecule: microRNA precursor, 111 nt
Filed under: Drosophila pseudoobscura
Lineage: Eukaryota; Metazoa; Arthropoda; Insecta; Diptera; Drosophilidae
Description: microRNA dps-mir-137 precursor
Gene: dps-mir-137
Rfam family: mir-137 microRNA precursor family
Source: miRBase by way of RNAcentral
GACGGCGACUAGAAUCUUCAACGGCCACGUGUAUACUCAUAGCUAUAACCUGAUAUCCGAAUGUUAUUGCUUGAGAAUACACGUAGUUUAACAAGAUUCGUUCAGCAAUCA